Molecule: ribosomal RNA, 253 nt
Filed under: uncultured bacterium
Lineage: Bacteria
Description: partial 16S ribosomal RNA
Rfam family: Bacterial small subunit ribosomal RNA
Source: RNAcentral
UACGUAGGGUGCGAGCGUUGUCCGGAAUUAUUGGGCGUAAAGGGCUCGUAGGCGGUUUGUCGCGUCGGGAGUGAAAACACCGGGCUUAACUCGGUGCUUGCUUUCGAUACGGGCAGACUUGAGGCAUGCAGGGGAGAACGGAAUUCCUGGUGUAGCGGUGAAAUGCGUAGAUAUCGAGAGGAACACCUGCGGCGAAGGCGGGUUGCUGGGCUGACACUGACGCUGAUGCGCGAAAGCCAGGGGAGCGAACGGG